CUGUCAUCCUGAGCGCAGCGAAGGACCUUAUCACGCUAGUUUGGUAUGGCGUGAUAAGGUCCUUCGCUGCGCUCAGGAUGACAG
RNAcentral lists this unclassified non-coding RNA (84 nucleotides) under Hymenobacter arizonensis. Its description in RNAcentral is "Siccationidurans arizonensis Flavo-1 RNA". Lineage: Bacteria; Pseudomonadati; Bacteroidota; Cytophagia; Cytophagales; Hymenobacteraceae. The record is from RNAcentral.